Small nucleolar RNA from Pomacea canaliculata, 70 nucleotides. The record is from RefSeq and is a predicted model, not a curated record. NCBI's taxonomy places the organism in Eukaryota, Metazoa, Mollusca, Gastropoda, Architaenioglossa, Ampullariidae.
GUUUUAUGAUGAGAUUUUAUCCAGUUCUGCUUCUGAAAAGGAUGACAGACAAUAUUACCAACUCUGAACA